This 429-nucleotide ribosomal RNA is filed under the name Bacillota bacterium. RNAcentral's name for it is "Firmicutes bacterium partial 16S ribosomal RNA". It matches the Rfam family "Bacterial small subunit ribosomal RNA", at positions 355 to 776 of the family's 1533-position model. Lineage: Bacteria; Bacillati; Bacillota. The record is from RNAcentral.
UGGGGAAUUUUGGACAAUGGGCGAAAGCCUGAUCCAGCAAUGCCGCGUGUGUGAAGAAGGCCUUCGGGUUGUAAAGCACUUUUGUCCGGAAAGAAAUGGCUCUGGUUAAUACCUGGGGUCGAUGACGGUACCGGAAGAAUAAGAACCGGCUAACUACGUGCCAGCAGCCGCGGUAAUACGUAGGGUCCAAGCGUUAAUCGGAAUUACUGGGCGUAAAGCGUGCGCAGGCGGUUGUGCAAGACCGAUGUGAAAUCCCCGAGCUUAACUUGGGAAUUGCAUUGGUGACUGCACGGCUAGAGUGUGUCAGAGGGGGGUAGAAUUCCACGUGUAGCAGUGAAAUGCGUAGAGAUGUGGAGGAAUACCGAUGGCGAAGGCAGCCCCCUGGGAUAACACUGACGCUCAUGCACGCAAGCGUGGGGAGCAAACAGG